AGUGAACGCUGGCGGUAGGCCUAACACAUGCAAGUCGAACGGCAGCACAGUAAGAGCUUGCUCUUACGGGUGGCGAGUGGCGGACGGGUGAGGAAUACAUCGGAAUCUACUUUUUCGUGGGGGAUAACGUAGGGAAACUUACGCUAAUACCGCAUACGACCUACGGGUGAAAGCAGGGGAUCUUCGGACCUUGCGCGAUUGAAUGAGCCGAUGUCGGAUUAGCUAGUUGGCGGGGUAAAGGCCCACCAAGGCGACGAUCCGUAGCUGGUCUGAGAGGAUGAUGCGCCACACUGGAACUGAGACACGGUCAAGACUCCUACGGGAGGCAGCAGUGGGGAAUAUUGGAGAAUGGGCGCAAGCCUGAUCCAGCCAUACCGCGUGGGUGAAGAAGGCCUUCGGGUUGUAAAGCCCUUUUGUUGGGAAAGAAAAGCAGCAGGUUAAUACCCCGCUGUUAUGACGGUACCCAAAGAAUAAGCACCGGCUAACUUCGUG
RNAcentral lists this ribosomal RNA (492 nucleotides) under uncultured bacterium. Its description in RNAcentral is "partial 16S ribosomal RNA". It matches the Rfam family "Bacterial small subunit ribosomal RNA", at positions 29 to 507 of the family's 1533-position model. The record is from RNAcentral.